AUCUAACUGAUGAGUCCCAAAUAGAAAGAAACACGCGUCUUCGAU
This 45-nucleotide non-coding RNA is filed under the name Schistosoma haematobium. Lineage: Eukaryota; Metazoa; Platyhelminthes; Trematoda; Strigeidida; Schistosomatidae. The record is from RNAcentral.